GAGCCUGAGAAACGGCUACCACAUCCAAGGAUGGCAGCAGGCGCGCAAAUUACCCAAUCCCGACACGGGGAGGUAGUGACAAUAAAUAACAAUACGGGGUUCUUUAGGAUCUCGUAAUUGGAAUGAGUACAAUUUAAAUCUCUUAACGAGGAACAAUUGGAGGGCAAGUCUGGUGCCAGCAGCCGCGGUAAUUCCAGCUCCAAUAGCGUAUAUUAAAGUUGUUGCAGUUAAAAAGCUCGUAGUUGAAUUUCGGGGUUAGUAGGUUGGUCAUGCCUCUGGUAUGUACUGGUCUCACUGACUCCUCCUUCCUUAUGAACCGUAAUGCCAUUAAUUUGGUGUUGCGGGGAAUUUGGACUGUUACUUUGAAAAAAUUAGAGUGUUUAAAGCAAGCUAACGCUUGAAUACAUUAGCAUGGAAUAAUGAAAUAGGACGUUCGAUCUUAUUUUGUUGGUUUCUAGGAUUGACGUAAUGAUUAAUAGGGAUAGUUGGGGGCAUUAGUAUUCAAUUGUCAGAGGUGAAAUUCUUGGAUUUAUUGAAGACUAACUACUGCGAAAGCAUUUGCCAAGGAUGUUUUCAUUAAUCAAGAACGAAAGUUAGGGGAUCGAAGACGAUCAGAUACCGUCGUAGUCUUAACCAUAAACUAUGCCGACUAGGGAUCGGAUGAUGUUAAUUUUUUAAUGACUCAUUCGGCGCCUUACGGGAAACCAA
This 708-nucleotide ribosomal RNA is filed under the name uncultured fungus. RNAcentral's name for it is "SSU rRNA". It matches the Rfam family "Eukaryotic small subunit ribosomal RNA", at positions 392 to 1101 of the family's 1831-position model. Lineage: Eukaryota; Fungi. The record is from RNAcentral.